Non-coding RNA from Paramuricea clavata, 335 nucleotides. The record is from the annotation of a GenBank genome assembly. Lineage: Eukaryota; Metazoa; Cnidaria; Anthozoa; Malacalcyonacea; Plexauridae.
GGACGGUUCGAGUAAGUGAUAUUUCGGAACAGUAUCUAGUUCCUUCAAUACCAAUGUGUUCUAGUAAUAUGAAUUUUUUUCUGUGUUGGUGUUGUGUACUCAGGUGAAUAACAUGUUUGCGAUGUUACUCUGAGUGCAUAUCCACACCGGGCGAGCCUGAAAAAUAUGCCCGGCCAUGGUGGGAUUCGAACCUACGACCUUUGGAAUACUAGCCCAAUGCUCUUCCAACUGAGCUACGCGGUCAGGACGGUUCGAGUAAGUGAUAUUUCGGAACAGUAUCUAGUUCCUUCAUUACCAAUGUGUUCUAGUAAUAUGAAUUUUUUUCUGUGUUGGUG